RNAcentral lists this long non-coding RNA (1027 nucleotides) under Mytilus galloprovincialis (Mediterranean mussel). The record is from RNAcentral. Lineage: Eukaryota; Metazoa; Mollusca; Bivalvia; Mytilida; Mytilidae.
GUUUUGAAGUAAGAUUUUUGAUUUUGGGUCCGGUUUUAAAUUGGCCCACAGGGUCCAAAAUAAAAUUUGAGGUUCUUUGGUAGGCUGAAUCCAUACAUGAUUGUGUUUAUUAUUAUUUUUUAAUUUUUGGCCCAUUUAACAAGUUUGUGGGGUCCAAACUGUCAAGAAAUAAAUUCUUUUGGAUUUCAACAACAGUUGAAUAUUUGGGGUACUUUGGAAUGCUGAAUCUUACCGUGUUUUUAAAUUUGGGAUUUUGGUAUUUUGGGCCAAGUUAUCGAAAUGGUCCACAUUGAGGCCCAAAGGGUCCGAAAUUCAACAUUUUUUUGAUUUCAUCAAAAAUGAAGUCUAGCUUGAAUGUUGUGUACAUACUUACCCCAAACUGUUCAGGGUUCGACCUCUGCGGUAGUAUCAAGGGUGCUGUACAACACGUACAUCAUGUUCCAAUGCAACUUUAUCAGUAUACGUUUUUGACAGAUAAAGUUUGCCCUACACAACUUGACUUGCAUUUCAAGCUUUAAUGACUUUGGAUAAUUAUAUGUCACAUUGUCGUUUUCAUUUUAUACAGUAAAGAACAUGCAAGCAACAAUCGAGCUAAAAACUAUCUUUCCUUCAGAAUAUGGAUGUUGAGGCAUUUGGGGGCUCAACAAUAGGGGAGGCAAGUGAAGAUGAAUCACAGAAAAAAGAAAGAAAGUUAAGGAGGGGUCUUCAUACCAAUGCACGUAUUGUCCUUUCAAGACAAAAUGGGUAGCUAGUUUUCCCAGGCAUAAGAAGAUCCACACUAAUGGGUUAAACAAAUGUGACCAGUGUGAAUUAAAAUUUUAAGACUUCUCAAUAAGCAUAACAACUGAUAGCAUGGAGAAAGCCUGAUUUGUACUCAUUGUUCCAAACACUUCAAAAGCAGAACUGGGCAGUGGCGGAUUCCAGAACUUUUUGUAAGGCGGGCCCGAUGGCUGACCUAAAAAAGGGGGGACGGGGCUCAAGUCAUGCUUCAGUGAUUCCCUAUAUAAUCAACCAAAUUUUUCCAAGG